Molecule: ribosomal RNA, 261 nt
Filed under: uncultured archaeon
Lineage: Archaea
Description: partial 16S ribosomal RNA
Rfam family: Archaeal small subunit ribosomal RNA
Source: RNAcentral
AGGGUGUAAACGCUGCAGACUUGGUGUUGGAAGUCCUUUGGGGGCAUUCAGUGCCGGAGAGAAGUUGUUAAGUCUGCUACUUGGGGAGUACGUCCGCAAGGAUGAAACUUAAAGGAAUUGGCGGGGGAGCACCGCAACGGGAGGAGCGUGCGGUUUAAUUGGAUUCAACACCAUAAAACUCACCAGGGAAGACUGUUACAUGAAAGCCGAGAUGAAGACUCUGCUAGAUUUUCAGAGAGGUGGUGCAUGGCGUCAGUGACU